AUACCCCGCGGAAACGUGGACUAACAUCCCAUAAGACUCUAGAGCCGCAUGGCUCUGGAUUUAAAAUUCCGGUGGUACGGGACGGGCACGCGCGACAUUAGGUAGUUGGCGGGGUAACGGCCCACCAAGCCGACGAUGUCUAGGGGUUCUGAGAGGAAGGUCCCCCACACUGGAACUGAGACACGGUCCAGACUCCUACGGGAGGCAGCAGUGAGGAAUAUUGGUCAAUGGGCGCGAGCCUGAACCAGCCAAGUCGCGUGAGGGAAGAAUGGUCCAUGGCCUGUAAACCUCUUUUGUCAAGGAAGAAUAAAUUGCACGUGUGCGAUCUUGCCAGUACUUGACGAAUAAGCAUCGGCUAACUCCGUGCCAGCAGCCGCGGUAAUACGGGGGAUGCGAGCGUUAUCCGGAUUUAUUGGGUUUAAAGGGCGCGUAGGCGGGACGCCAAGUCAGCGGUAAAAGACUGCAGCUAAACUGUAGCACGCCGUUGAAACUGGCGCCCUCGAGACGAGACGAGGGAGGCGGAACAAGUGAAGUAGCGGUGAAAUGCUUAGAUAUCACUUGGAACCCCGAUAGCGAAGGCAGCUUCCCAGGCUCGAUCUGACGCUGAUGCGCGAGAGCGUGGGUAGCGAACAGGAUUAGAUACCCUGGUAGUCCACGCCGUAAAC
Molecule: ribosomal RNA, 665 nt
Filed under: uncultured bacterium
Lineage: Bacteria
Description: bacterial SSU rRNA
Rfam family: Bacterial small subunit ribosomal RNA
Source: RNAcentral